ACGAUCAGUAGGGGUUCUGAGAGGAAGGUCCCCCACAUUGGAACUGAGACACGGUCCAAACUCCUACGGGAGGCAGCAGUGAGGAAUAUUGGUCAAUGGGCGAGAGCCUGAACCAGCCAAGUAGCGUGCAGGAUGACGGCCCUAUGGGUUGUAAACUGCUUUUAUAAGGGAAUAAAGUGAGUCUCGUGAGACUUUUUGCAUGUACCUUAUGAAUAAGGACCGGCUAAUUCCGUGCCAGCAGCCGCGGUAAUACGGAAGGUCCGGGCGUUAUCCGGAUUUAUUGGGUUUAAAGGGAGCGUAGGCCGGAGAUUAAGCGUGUUGUGAAAUGUAGACGCUCAACGUCUGCACUGCAGCGCGAACUGGUUUCCUUGAGUACGCACAAAGUGGGCGGAAUUCGUGGUGUAGCGGUGAAAUGCUUAGAUAUCACGAAGAACUCCGAUUGCGAAGGCAGCUCACUGGAGCGCAACUGACGCUGAAGCUCGAAAGUGCGGGUAUCGAACAGGAUUAGAUACCCUGGUAGUCCGCACGGUAAACGAUGGAUGCCCGCUGUUGGUCUGAAUAGGUCAGCGGCCAAGCGAAAGCAUUAAGCAUCCCACCUGGGGAGUA
RNAcentral lists this ribosomal RNA (606 nucleotides) under uncultured bacterium. Its description in RNAcentral is "bacterial SSU rRNA". It matches the Rfam family "Bacterial small subunit ribosomal RNA", at positions 276 to 882 of the family's 1533-position model. The record is from RNAcentral.